This 101-nucleotide microRNA precursor is filed under the name Marmota monax (woodchuck). Lineage: Eukaryota; Metazoa; Chordata; Mammalia; Rodentia; Sciuridae. The record is from RNAcentral.
AAUGGGAUAGCUGGGUCAAAUGGUGGUUUCUUUCCAUUUUCUGAGGAAUCUUCAUACCGCUUUCUAGAGCAGUUGCACCAAUUUGCAGUCCUACCAGCAAU